Homo sapiens (human) is the source of this 829-nucleotide long non-coding RNA. Lineage: Eukaryota; Metazoa; Chordata; Mammalia; Primates; Hominidae. The record is from Ensembl.
ACUUCCGCUCACUCCAUCUUGAUGAGAGUUGGUGUUUGUGGGUUAUUUGUGAAGCCGGAAAGAAGCCGUGUCCUGGAGAAUGUAGCUGAAGGCCUGGCCACUUUCGACAAGAACGGGAAAGAGACGACUAACUUGUACUAAUAUCUUAGUGCUUGGCAGGGCAUUUUUUCAUUCCAGGAAAGAAGAGAAUCCAGCUGAGAUCAAGGGAGGGACGUCCGACGGAGGCGCCAUCUUUAACAAGGGCUAUUUGGGAGGCCAUCUUGGCGCAGGGCGUCUUUUUGAAAGGUUACCUGCUAGAGAUUACGACCUAUCGGGGCAUGCAUAGAAUUGGAUAUGUUCCUUGUUAUUCGCGUCAGCAGUCACUCAUCCAAAGACCCCAAAGCUUCUAGUGUUCUAAAGGCUCACACCUUCUGUGACAGGAAUCUUGAUUCCCAUUCUUCUCAAUCAAGACCUACCCUGAAUGGAUUUGGAGUAGUGUGGUAUAAUGGGAAAAAUUCAAGCUUGGGGGCCAGGCAGAUCCAGGUUUCAAACCCAUCUCUGCCACUUCUUACCUCUGAGACCUUUGGCAAACAUUUUGACUUAAUUGAGCCUUAGUUUCCUCAUCUAUAAACUGGAGAUACUAGCACCAACCUUCCAGAAUUGUGUGGAUUAAAUAAAAUCAAGGACAUAGAUUUUGUGAGCACAGGAUACUUAGUCCAGUUCCUGGCACAUAAUGAACGCAUUAUGUAAAUAUAAGUUUCUCUUCCUUAUUUCCUGACCACCAUGAACCUAGCUCUAGUUUCUGGCCACUAGUCUCCAUGACAACAACUGAGGAAGAGCACCCAAACAA